GACGAACGCUGGCGGCGUGCCUAGUACAUGCAAGUUGAGCGAUGAAGAUUGGUGCUUGCACCAAUUUGAAGAGCAGCGAACGGGUGAGUAACGCGUGGGGAAUCUGCCUUUGAGCGGGGGACAACAUUUGGAAACGAAUGCUAAUACCGCAUAACAACUUUAAACAUAAGUUUUAAGUUUGAAAGAUGCAAUUGCAUCACUCAAAGAUGAUCCCGCGUUGUAUUAGCUAGGUGGUGAGGUAAAGGCUCACCAAGGCGAUGAUACAUAGCCGACCUGAGAGGGUGAUCGAGCACAAUGGGAAUGAGAAACGGCCCCAAAUCCUACGGGAGGCAGCAGUAGGGAAUCUUCGGCAAUGGACGAAAGUCUGACCGAGCAACGCCGCGGGAGUGAAGAAGGGUUUCGGAUCGUAAAACUCCGUUGGUAGAGAAGAACGUUGGUGAGAGUGGAAAGCUCAUCAAGUGACGGUAACUACCCAGAAAGGGACGGCUAACUACGUG
RNAcentral lists this ribosomal RNA (497 nucleotides) under uncultured bacterium. RNAcentral's name for it is "partial 16S ribosomal RNA". It matches the Rfam family "Bacterial small subunit ribosomal RNA", at positions 28 to 507 of the family's 1533-position model. The record is from RNAcentral.